AAAUCAGGAGCUGAAAUUUGAGCUGCUGAAAAUGAAGACGAGGUUGAUAGAAAUUGAAAAACCAAAGUCAAAUACAUCAGCCUCAAGCAGCCCUUUGGUCAUUACUCAGCCAUCUGCUGGUAAACCUCCUUUGCCAAGAAAAUCUAACUUCAUGAGCUCAGUAUCGAAAAAGCUCGGAAGAUUUAUUCGAGCGGAUGGACUCACGCAUGGCAAAGCCCGAAAUAAACCAAGUAAAGAUAGACGUCAUUCCAU
This 252-nucleotide unclassified non-coding RNA is filed under the name Hevea brasiliensis (rubber tree). Lineage: Eukaryota; Viridiplantae; Streptophyta; Magnoliopsida; Malpighiales; Euphorbiaceae. The record is from RNAcentral.